ACUUUUUCCAUCUAGCACUAAUUCCAUUUGCCUCCAAAAUGGUAUGGGUGUGUGGCAGAGUAUAUCAAAAUCGAGUUGUUAAGCCUUCAUUUUUCCAUUUGGUUGCAGUUAGUAGAAGAAAGUGAACAUUAGUCUUGGAUGAUGUUCUUGCAAACUCCUUCAUAUCACCAGGAACAUAUGACUUUGAAAAUGACAGACAAUUAACAUAGGAAGAACAUGAGCGAACUCUUGAACAGAACUUGGUCCUUGGCCUGAAUGACAUGAAUAACUCUACUGCAGAUGCAGCUUAUCCCUCAAAGCAGAAAUUCUAUCCACACAUUAUACUUAAGAGGUUGAUAGAGAACGUAUUGAGCUGGAGACUCUUCUCACUAUCUCUCUUUUUUUUGUCAUUGGACUUUCCUAAUAUUCUACCCAUCUAGCUGGGUUGAUUUUUCCGAGCUUUGGUGCCUUAAGUUUGCUAAUAGGUGCAGACUUAAGCAGAAACAUUGACCUUGGUGGUACAUUAAAGAUGUAAUAUUCCGCAUUCAUAAAAUGGAGAUUACAGGAUGAAUAACUUGGCCUAUGAGGCCAAUUGUCCUAGAGGAGUGUGGAGUUCGCAAUUACCCGUUUGUGCUUCAAAUUGACCCCUCGUGGAUCCUUUUUGUUGCCAAGUAUGAGUUGCACGAGCAACAUGGUAUAAAUUGCAAAGCUUAUGACUUUGUUUGUAGACGUAUGGCAGGAACUUUGAGGAACAGGAUUGGUGCCAAUAACAACCUCCAGUGUAGGGCCCAAUUUGGGGAACACAUUUCAUAGUAGAUUUGAUCAGAUUUUUUUGUAUUAAAAAUUAUUUAAUGACCACUUCUCGAUACAACACAGUACACAAGAGUUAACUUC
Non-coding RNA from Physcomitrium patens, 873 nucleotides. Lineage: Eukaryota; Viridiplantae; Streptophyta; Bryopsida; Funariales; Funariaceae. The record is from RefSeq and is a predicted model, not a curated record.